RNAcentral lists this ribosomal RNA (497 nucleotides) under uncultured bacterium. RNAcentral's name for it is "partial 16S ribosomal RNA". It matches the Rfam family "Bacterial small subunit ribosomal RNA", at positions 28 to 507 of the family's 1533-position model. The record is from RNAcentral.
GAUGAACGCUGGCGGCGUGCCUAAUACAUGCAAGUCGAGCGAACAGACGAGGAGCUUGCUCCUCUGACGUUAGCGGCGGACGGGUGAGUAACACGUGGAUAACCUACCUAUAAGACUGGGAUAACUUCGGGAAACCGGAGCUAAUACCGGAUAAUAUAUUGAACCGCAUGGUUCAAUAGUGAAAGACGGUUUUGCUGUCACUUAUAGAUGGAUCCGCGCCGCAUUAGCUAGUUGGUAAGGUAACGGCUUACCAAGGCAACGAUGCAUAGCCGACCUGAGAGGGUGAUCGGCCACACUGGAACUGAGACACGGUCCAGACUCCUACGGGAGGCAGCAGUAGGGAAUCUUCCGCAAUGGGCGAAAGCCUGACGGAGCAACGCCGCGUGAGUGAUGAAGGUCUUCGGAUCGUAAAACUCUGUUAUUAGGGAAGAACAAAUGUGUAAGUAACUAUGCACAUCUUGACGGUACCUAAUCAGAAAGCCACGGCUAGCUACGUG